UGCCGGCGCGCCUAGUUGCCGCGGAAUCUUCUUCUUUGUUUAUGUCUCUCCUUCCUCCUCAGCUGCACUUCCUCGUCGGCUCCUCCUCUGCUUUUUUCGAAGGUAGUGGAGGGAGGAACCUCUUGUAAUGCAAGCCAUUUCACAAGAUAAUAAUCUAAAAUUAGAGGCAAGAGAGUAUCUCUCACUUAACAAACACAAAC
RNAcentral lists this long non-coding RNA (200 nucleotides) under Setaria italica (foxtail millet). Its description in RNAcentral is "long non-coding RNA (SITA_LNC004058)". The record is from RNAcentral. Lineage: Eukaryota; Viridiplantae; Streptophyta; Magnoliopsida; Poales; Poaceae.